Non-coding RNA from Sus scrofa (pig), 1078 nucleotides. The record is from RefSeq and is a predicted model, not a curated record. Lineage: Eukaryota; Metazoa; Chordata; Mammalia; Artiodactyla; Suidae.
UGAAAUCACAUUCCCAAACUGCUUCCAUGGAGAAGUGUGUUGCUACCACUGACAGUAUAGAUGCAGCUACUUAACACGACCAUCACUGCGAUGCAGACAGCUGUGGAUGGAGCCUCUGCUGGGCGGCAUCUGGAGGGUGGGAGCUGGCCCACCCCUACUCAAGGAGUGGAGUCUGUACAGCCUAGAUGACUAAGGUGUCCAGUUGGAGGAAUGAAAACUGGUAAAAGACCACUGUAAGGGAAGAAAAGGCGUUGGUUUACUUAUAAGGAGAUCUGAACAAGAAGCCAUUCUGGUGUGGUCCUGAAGGACAGUAGUGGAAGAAAAUAUUCCCACUGGGCAGAGCUUCACACAGGGCAACUGACUGUUCAUUUGCCCAAAGUUAGAGAUGACCAGAGCAAAUGGAGUACAGCAGUGAGCUCGCGCUCAUGGGAAUCACAUCAUCUUGAUUACUGCAGCUUUCUUGGAAGUCUUGAAAUCAGGUAAAGUCCUCCUGCUUUGUUCCUCUCUUAAAAUUUUUUCUGGCUACUCUAGAUUCUUUGCGUUUUCUUACAACUUUUAAAAUAAGCUUGUCAAUUUCUAUUAAAAUACCUGUGGGGAUUUGAAUGGGAUCAUUUUGAAUCUGCAGAUGAAUUUAAAGCAAACUGAUAUCUUAACAAUAUUGAGUUUUUCAACCCGUGCACAUGGCAUAUCCCUCCGUUUAUUUAAGCCUUCUUUACUUUUUCUUAGCAAUGGCUUGCUGUUUUUUGGGUAUACCGGUCUUGUGAACCUGUUUUGUUAAGCACAUUCCUAAUUAUGAUGUGGUUUGUGAUUCUGUUGCUACUGCGGCUUUAGACUUGACUUCCACAAGGGCUAUGACUUCCAUUUGGACUGACAUUGGUGUUGCUUUGGCUCUGGCUCCUGCUAAACCUCUCUGGCUGACUGUGCUGUGUCCUGCUCUUUUGCUUCUUCCAUCACUUUAUUGUUCGGUUCUUUAGAUAUUUUUCCUGAAAUUUCCCCUUUUCUUACAGAUGUGUUACUUUCACUAUCAACUUCAUUGUAGUCUGGUUCAAAAGCAGCUUCAUCAGUCUCUCUAGUUAAG